GUGCCAGCAGCCGCGGUAAUACGUAGGGUGCAAGCGUUGUCCGGAAUUAUUGGGCGUAAAGAGCUCGUAGGCGGUCUGUCGCGUCGGACGUGAAAAUCCAGGGCUCAACCCUGGACCUGCGUUCGAUACGGGCAGACUAGAGUUCGGUAGGGGAGACUGGAAUUCCUGGUGUAGCGGUGAAAUGCGCAGAUAUCAGGAGGAACACCGGUGGCGAAGGCGGGUCUCUGGGCCGAAACUGACGCUGAGGAGCGAAAGCGUGGGGAGCGAACAGGAUUAGAAACCCCCGUAGUCC
Molecule: ribosomal RNA, 292 nt
Filed under: uncultured bacterium
Lineage: Bacteria
Description: partial 16S ribosomal RNA
Rfam family: Bacterial small subunit ribosomal RNA
Source: RNAcentral